Molecule: long non-coding RNA, 523 nt
Organism: Drosophila innubila
Lineage: Eukaryota; Metazoa; Arthropoda; Insecta; Diptera; Drosophilidae
Exons: 4
Source: RefSeq, a predicted model, not a curated record
ACCGAUAAAAUCGUUUUAAAAGGACAAUUUAGAUGUAUACUCUGAAGACAUGUUGUACUGUUAUUCCGCUAAAAUGGGGAAUGCUUAUUGUAUCCAUCAUCGAUACAAUAAUUGGAGUAGUUAUGUACAUUGAAGGAUUUUUUUGGCUCAGUGGUGUGGGAAAAUAUAUAUAUCCUCUAAUUGUGCCACUUAUCCAUUUUAUUGGAUGCAUACUUCUAUUAAUUUCAAUUUGGUUGCAAAAAAGUCCACUAGUAAUUUGGUAUCUGGUAACUGGAAUUAUUCGAAUAAUAUUCACUGUACUCCAAGCCGUAUAUGAAUUCAUUAAGGAUCUCGAUUUUUUUAUUACACUGUCCAUCUUUAUUUUUAGUAAUCCUUAGCAUAUACUUUUGGAUCUGUGCCUUCUCUUGGUUUAUGGAACUCAGACAACUCGAAAAUCAGAACUGAAAAUUGCUAAAUUAAUCAACAGACUGUAAUAGUUUAGAGACUCAAUAUAUUUGUUGGAAUGUAAUAAAAUUAUUUAAAU